RNAcentral lists this ribosomal RNA (450 nucleotides) under uncultured bacterium. RNAcentral describes it as "bacterial SSU rRNA". It matches the Rfam family "Bacterial small subunit ribosomal RNA", at positions 330 to 794 of the family's 1533-position model. The record is from RNAcentral.
CCCAGACUCCUACGGGAGGCAGCAGUGGGGAAUAUUGGGCAAUGGGCGCAAGCCUGACCCAGCAACGCCGCGUGAAGGAAGAAGGCUUUCGGGUUGUAAACUUCUUUUGUCAGGGACGAAGCAAGUGACGGUACCUGACGAAUAAGCCACGGCUAACUACGUGCCAGCAGCCGCGGUAAUACGUAGGUGGCAAGCGUUAUCCGGAUUUAUUGGGUGUAAAGGGCGUGUAGGCGGGAAUGCAAGUCAGAUGUGAAAACGAUGGGCUCAACCCAUAGCCUGCAUUUGAAACUGUAUUUCUUGAGUGCUGGAGAGGCAAUCGGAAUUCCGUGUGUAGCGGUGAAAUGCGUAGAUAUACGGAGGAACACCAGUGGCGAAGGCGGAUUGCUGGACAGUAACUGACGCUGAGGCGCGAAAGCGUGGGGAGCAAACAGGAUUAGAUACCCGAGUAAA